Long non-coding RNA from Myotis myotis, 601 nucleotides. RefSeq lists it as uncharacterized. The record is from RefSeq and is a predicted model, not a curated record. The transcript is spliced from 3 exons. Lineage: Eukaryota; Metazoa; Chordata; Mammalia; Chiroptera; Vespertilionidae.
CAGUAAUUUCUAAAAAUAUAUCUAUCUUUGUCUGGGGCCGGCAUUGAGCCAGAGGCAAGAAUGCUCUUGGGUAGACGUUCAAAUUGGAGGAGAAUUCCCCACGCGAUGGCUCCGACGUGGAGACCAGAAUCCUCUUAGAGAAGAGAGGAGACCUGGGCAGAAGGGAGAUGCUGAUGGGAGCGAGACAGAACCGAUUCUCCCGGCCAGGCUCCACGGAGCCCUCCUGUCCAUCCACGCCUCGCCUGGCCUGUGAGGCUGUGGACCAACACGAAAGAUUUCUAAGAGCUCAAGCUGCACCCCUAGAUGGACCCUGGGGCCCCCUGAAGUGCCUGUCUGGGAAAACUCAGCCUAAACAGGUUACUGUGGCCCCGCCCGCUCCUGGUGGUAGGACCCUGUCCGUAGGCCUGACAACUGGCAGAUGUAAAAGGCAGUGCUGUUAACCAGGGUCAGCAAGCGGCGCCCCAGCCCCAGGACCUGUAUUAUCACCGGACGUUUGCACCUUCUGAAGACGGCAGGAGCCUGACGUCGGUGUGUGCUGGCUCACAAACCCAGCACAAUUCACCAUAGCAAAGAUUUGGCAACAGCCUCAGUGCCCAUCAGC